Molecule: long non-coding RNA, 272 nt
Organism: Cyprinus carpio (common carp)
Lineage: Eukaryota; Metazoa; Chordata; Actinopteri; Cypriniformes; Cyprinidae
Exons: 3
Source: RefSeq, a predicted model, not a curated record
AAUCUACAUUAAGAGUGGAGAUACAAAGACUGAUCUCAGUUCAGUUCAUCAGAAGAGAUCAGGAGCAGAGUCCAGCUGUGUGUCUGUGAGGAGUGAUUGGUCUAUGGAUCAUCCAGUAAAGUUUAAGAGUGGAGAUACAAAGACUGAUCUCAGUUCAGUUCAUCAGAAGAGAUCAGGAGCAGAGUCCAGCUGUGUGUCUGUGAGGAGUGACACAUCUAUGAAUCAGUCCAUUAGAUUUUAAGAUUGAAGAUACAAAGACUGAUCUCAGGUAU